GGCCGGGUGCCCGAGAAGCUAGGGAACGGUCUGCAAAACCGUUUUACAUGGGUGCGAGUCCCAUCCCGGCCU
This 72-nucleotide transfer RNA is filed under the name bacterium. RNAcentral describes it as "tRNA-Cys". It matches the Rfam family "tRNA". Rfam says of the family: Transfer RNA (tRNA) molecules are approximately 80 nucleotides in length. Their secondary structure includes four short double-helical elements and three loops (D, anti-codon, and T loops). Further hydrogen bonds mediate the characteristic L-shaped molecular structure. tRNAs have two regions of fundamental functional importance: the anti-codon, which is responsible for specific mRNA codon recognition, and the 3' end, to which the tRNAs corresponding amino acid is attached (by aminoacyl-tRNA synthetases). tRNAs cope with the degeneracy of the genetic code in two manners: having more than one tRNA (with a specific anti-codon) for a particular amino acid; and 'wobble' base-pairing, i.e. permitting non-standard base-pairing at the 3rd anti-codon position. The record is from RNAcentral.